Molecule: ribosomal RNA, 465 nt
Filed under: uncultured bacterium
Lineage: Bacteria
Description: bacterial SSU rRNA
Rfam family: Bacterial small subunit ribosomal RNA
Source: RNAcentral
CCUACGGGACGCAGCAGUGGGGAAUAUUGCACAAUGGGCGCAAGCCUGAUGCAGCCAUGCCGCGUGUGCGAAGAAGGCCUUCGGGUUGUAAAGCACUUUCAGCGGGGAGGAAGGCGGUGAGGUUAAUAACCUCACCGAUUGACGUUACCCGCAGAAGAAGCACCGGCUAACUCCAUGCCAGCAGCCGCGGUAAUACGGAGGGUGCAAGCGUUAAUCGGAAUUACUGGGCGUAAAGCGCACGCAGGCGGUCUGUCAAGUCGGAUGUGAAAUCCCCGGGCUCAACCUGGGAACUGCAUUCGAAACUGGCAGGCUAGAGUCUUGUAGAGGGGGGUAGAAUUCCAGGUGUAGCGGUGAAAUGCGUAGAGAUCAGGAGGAAUACCGGUGGCGAAGGCGGCCCCCUGGACAAAGACUGACGCUCAGGUGCGAAAGCGUGGGGAGCAAACAGGAUUAGAUACCCUCGUAGUC